CUAAGGAAUUGACGGGGCCCGCACAAGCGGAGGAGCAUGUGGUUUAAUUCGAUGAUACGCGAGGAACCUUACCUGGGCUCGAACGUAAGAUGACUGUAGGUGAAAGCUUACAUCUCUUCGGAGCAUUUUACGAGGUGCUGCAUGGUUGUCGUCAGCUCGUGCCGUGAGGUGUCGGGUUAAGUCCCAUAACGAGCGCAACCCCUACCUUUAGUUGCCAUCAGGUUAAGCUGGGGACUCUAAAGGAACUGCCUACGCAAGUAGUGAGGAAGGCGGGGAUGACGUCAAAUCAGCACGGCCCUUACGUCCAGGGCUACACACGUGCUACAAUGGCCGAUACAGAGGGCAGCUACCUGGUGACAGGAUGCAAAUCUCCAAAGUCGGUCUCAGUUCGGAUCGGAGUCUGCAACCCGACUCCGUGAAGUUGGAUUCGCUAGUAAUCGCGCAUCAGCCAUGGCGCGGUGAAUACGUUCCCGGGCCUU
RNAcentral lists this ribosomal RNA (479 nucleotides) under uncultured Sphingobacteriales bacterium. RNAcentral's name for it is "bacterial SSU rRNA". It matches the Rfam family "Bacterial small subunit ribosomal RNA", at positions 902 to 1382 of the family's 1533-position model. The record is from RNAcentral. Lineage: Bacteria; Pseudomonadati; Bacteroidota; Sphingobacteriia; Sphingobacteriales.